GAUGAACGCUGGCGGCGUGCCUAAUACAUGCAAGUCGAGCGAACGGACGAGAAGCUUGCUUCUCUGAUGUUAGCGGCGGACGGGUGAGUAACACGUGGAUAACCUACCUAUAAGACUGGGAUAACUUCGGGAAACCGGAGCUAAUACCGGAUGAUAUUUUGAACCGCAUGGUUCAAAAGUGAAAGACGGUCUUGCUGUCACUUAUAGAUGGAUCCGCGCUGCAUUAGCUAGUUGGUAAGGUAACGGCUUACCAAGGCAACGAUGCAUAGCCGACCUGAGAGGGUGAUCGGCCACACUGGAACUGAGACACGGUCCAGACUCCUACGGGAGGCAGCAGUAGGGAAUCUUCCGCAAUGGGCGAAAGCCUGACGGAGCAACGCCGCGUGAGUGAUGAAGGUCUUCGGAUCGUAAAACUCUGUUAUUAGGGAAGAACAUAUGUGUAAGUAACUGUGCACAUCUUGACGGUACCUAAUCAGAAAGCCACGGCUAACUACGUGCCAGCAGCCGCGGUAAUACGUAGGUGGCAAGCGUUAUCCGGAAUUAUUGGGCGUAAAGCGCGCGUAGGCGGUUUUUUAAGUCUGAUGUGAAAGCCCACGGCUCAACCGUGGAGGGUCAUUGGAAACUGGAAAACUUGAGUGCAGAAGAGGAAAGUGGAAUUCCAUGUGUAGCGGUGAAAUGCGCAGAGAUAUGGAGGAACACCAGUGGCGAAGGCGACUUUCUGGUCUGUAACUGACGCUGAUGUGCGAAAGCGUGGGGAUCAAACAGGAUUAGAUACCCUGGUAGUCCACGCCGUAAACGAUGAGUGCUAAGUGUUAGGGGGUUUCCGCCCCUUAGUGCUGCAGCUAACGCAUUAAGCACUCCGCCUGGGGAGUACGACCGCAAGGUUGAAACUCAAAGGAAUUGACGGGGACCCGCACAAGCGGUGGAGCAUGUGGUUUAAUUCGAAGCAACGCGAAGAACCUUACCAAAUCUUGACAUCCUUUGACAACUCUAGAGAUAGAGCCUUCCCCUUCGGGGGGGACAAAGUGACAGGUGGUGCAUGGUUGUCGUCAGCUCGUGUCGUGAGAUGUUGGGUUAAGUCCCGCAACGAGCGCAACCCUUAAGCUUAGUUGCCAUCAUUAAGUUGGGCACUCUAAGUUGACUGCCGGUGACAAACCGGAGGAAGGUGGGGAUGACGUCAAAUCAUCAUGCCCCUUAUGAUUUGGGCUACACACGUGCUACAAUGGACAAUACAAAGGGCAGCGAAACCGCGAGGUCAAGCAAAUCCCAUAAAGUUGUUCUCAGUUCGGAUUGUAGUCUGCAACUCGACUACAUGAAGCUGGAAUCGCUAGUAAUCGUAGAUCAGCAUGCUACGGUGAAUACGUUCCCGGGUCU
RNAcentral lists this ribosomal RNA (1374 nucleotides) under uncultured bacterium. Its description in RNAcentral is "bacterial SSU rRNA". It matches the Rfam family "Bacterial small subunit ribosomal RNA", at positions 28 to 1381 of the family's 1533-position model. The record is from RNAcentral.